This is a long non-coding RNA of Homo sapiens (human), 2211 nucleotides long. Ensembl annotates it as long intergenic non-protein coding RNA 540. The record is from Ensembl. Lineage: Eukaryota; Metazoa; Chordata; Mammalia; Primates; Hominidae.
UCAGACUAACUUCAGAAGCAGAGUUGAAAGCCAGGGCCAGAGAGAGCCCCCAGAACAUUCCACAGGGGCUGGGCGGGCCGGCCCAGGGCCUGCCUAUGGCCUGAAAGAGAAAACCUGCCACGGAGCCCGGGCUUCUCUGAUCCUCCCGCCAAACUUUGUCUCUCAUUUAGCUUUCUUUGUGUCUGAGGAUUUAGCAAAGGCCUCAGGGAUUCAACAGAGUUGGAUUGCUGAGAAUAAAAUUACGGAUUUCUCCAUAAUGGACACACGCACUUUUUGUUUGUGCUGUUUCCUUUAGAAUGGACGAUGAGUCAAAAUUGUUCGUUUAUGCUUCUUCACAGAAGGAUCUUCUGUGUCGUAGGAGGUGGCCUGCAGCAAUCUGGACAUUCAGUGGUCCUCCUGUGAUUAAUAGGUGAACGGAUGAGCUAUUCUGAUAAGAACUGGGGAACUUUUGCCAUUCAAAAGCAAAUAGAAGAACUGGGAGAUUCCUCAACUUAGCUUUUCUUUUUUUUGGUUCUAAAGUGACUGCGAAUGGAGGUAGAAGAGAAGAAAAGCUUUCAAAAACAUCUUCCAUUAAGAAAAAUAUGUAUCUUCAUGAAGACCUAUCUGAGUAAAAUUACUAAAACAUAAUGGCUUUCUUGAAAUAGAAUGGAAUGAAAGGCAUAUUAGGGAGUAUGAAAGUAUGAAGAUUUUAUUAACAUACUUCUAGAAGUUUAUUAAAUAUCUGCACAGGAACUGUAAUUUGAGAUCAGUGGUGGAAAGAGAAUAAAGGAAUCACGUGGACAUCAGCUCUGAGGCCUGUGGCCCCACUUGCUUCUGGGCUUUCUAUAGACAUUUGCUGGUGACCUGCCCAGGCAGGCUAGAGUACCCUUCCUCAUUGCACCCUGUGUUCCCAUCCUCUUUUCCUUCCUUCCUUCCUUCCUUCCUUCCUUCCUUCCUUUCUUCCUCCAUCCCUUAUGAAACCCUCGUUGUGCAGUUACUUAUUAGGUGCUGUGUGAGCGUCUGAAGUCUCCCCUCACCCACUUUUCCAUUUGGGCCACUUGGCCAGUGAUUGCAUCAGUACCAGGGUUCUAGGAGCCAUGCAGGGAUCCCCAGUGGGCAGAGCUGGCCGUAGCAUUUGGAAAGGAAGAGAGAGAACUGGAGACAAUGCCUAGGAACAAAAGCAGAGUCCAGACCCAGGCAUCAAGUGCAAAUCCAAAGGCUCUGGAUGAGUCAGUUCCCAGCAAAGGGACACAAGUAGGCACAGAAGGAAGGACAGCAGAAAACACUGGUCCAGAGAGGGCCUGCAGAGCCAGAAGCGAUGACGCAUCCAAGGUUGUGUUUGACUUCUGCACUGCCUCUGCAACCUGUAAGCACAUCUGAGCCAGUUCAGAAAGUAGGAAAACCAAAGUAUAUCAGAAAUGGCCUCUUAUCAUCAAGGAGAUUUUGGUCUAGAUUGCUUAUUGCUCAGGAGAAAUCACCACUUUUUAAAAAGAUAUGCUGAGAUAGGGUUUAGUUGGGAUAGAAAAGGUUAUUAAACUACGGGACACCCUUCCUUUACAGAGUGUAAGCACUACUACCCCUUUUGUUUGUCUGUUUUUCUUAUUUUUCUCACAGAUGCAGUUCCUGCAUUAGUAUUGAUAAAUGUGUGGCUGCUCCACUUGGAGUGUUUUCAAAGCAUAAAUCACAGCAUUGAUGGUGCUGUGGUUUGGCUCUUCCAGCCCUCUUAACAACGGUCUGAUGGACUUGGCGAGAGUCUAGCCACGUGUUCUGGCCUCUGUCACUCUCAUGGCUGAAACGCAUGCACACCCACAGAUGGGGGCCCCGUGGUAGAGAUGUGCCUCUACUUGUCAAAUAGACUGACUCCAAAUUCGGAAAUAUGCCUCAGGAAUCUAGAAAGAUAGAAAAGGAGUCUUCGUCACUGUAGGGUCUCAUUCACAAUAUGGAGGAGAGAUGGAGGGGAGUUUUUGGUAUAAAUUUUGCCUCAUAAAAAUUCUCCACGUUGUUUUGUACUGUAUGAGGGUAGCGAGAAAUUAGUUGAUGGUUAACAAUCAAGCUGGAGAAGAAUAUCCUCAAUUUUUCACAUGGAAAAUGAAAAACUACAACUCCUUCCAAAUAUAUGUAUGUUUCUUUUCUGAAGAUAGACGUGUGUGUGUUUGUGUGUAUCAUAUAACAUUUAUUUUUUGAUUUCUUUGUUAUCAACAGUAAAAAUACAGAAAAUGAUGCCAAAGAGAA